Oncorhynchus keta (chum salmon) is the source of this 1053-nucleotide long non-coding RNA. RefSeq lists it as uncharacterized. Lineage: Eukaryota; Metazoa; Chordata; Actinopteri; Salmoniformes; Salmonidae. The record is from RefSeq and is a predicted model, not a curated record. The transcript is spliced from 6 exons.
GAGAGACGAAACGGCAUAUAUAUUAGAAGAAUAUAUCAAUGUCUUGUACAUGUACUGUGGUAUUAUGAUUUCAACCUUUAUGUUACCUAGCCUGAUGUUACCUAGGUAACAGCUCAGGUGGGCCUUUACGCUUCAGCAAAAAAGGAAAGGAGUGGUGCUCAACAACAAUGACAAAAUCAAUCUCUGUCUUGUUUUGUUGAGUGCUCCAACUCCUUUUUACCUCGAAUUAGUCCAUUUGGAAGUUUUUCUGAGUAAGCCAUUCUCGUUACCUAGGUGACCUAUACGUUAGCUAGGCUGAUGUUACUUAAGUUACCUUCAUGUUACCUAGAUGCGGAUCUGAGUUGGCUACAGAACGUGACUACCAGGCUAUUGACAAGAGCACAUGUGGCUGUGGUACAUAUCAGACCUCUGUAAGGCUGAAGGUGGGGGUUGAGGAAGGUUGUGGUACUUACUAGACCUCUGUAGGGCUGAAGGUGGGGGUUGAGGAAGGCUGCAGUACUUACUAAACCUCUGUAGGGCUGAAGGUGGGGGUUGAGGAAGGCUGCAGUACUUACUAAACCUCUGUAGGGCUGAAGGUGGGGGUUGAGGAAGGUUGUGGUACUUACUAGACCUCUGUAGGGCUGAAGGUGGGGGUUGAGGAAGGCUGCAGUACUUCCUAGACCUCUGUAGGGCUGAAGAUGGGGGUUGAGGAAGGCUGCAGUACUUACUAAACCUCUGUAGGGCUGAAGGUGGGGGUUGAGGAAGGUUGUGGUACUUACUAGACCUCUGUAGGGCUGAAGGUGGGGGUUGAGAAAGGCUAUGGUACUUCCUAGACCUCUGUAGGGCUGAAGGUGGGGGUUGAGGAAGGUUGUGGUACUUACUAGACCUCUGUAGGGCUGAAGGUGGGGGUUGAGGAAGGCUGCAGUACUUACUAAACCUCUGUAGGGCUGAAGGUGGGGGUUGAGAAAGGCUAUGGUACUUCCUAGACCUCUGUAGGGCUGAAGGUGGGGGUUGAGGAAGGCUGCAGUACUUACUAAACCUCUGUAGGGCUGAAGAUGGGGGUUGAGGAAGGUU